RNAcentral lists this ribosomal RNA (301 nucleotides) under uncultured bacterium. RNAcentral describes it as "partial 16S ribosomal RNA". It matches the Rfam family "Bacterial small subunit ribosomal RNA", at positions 509 to 807 of the family's 1533-position model. The record is from RNAcentral.
CAGUCGCCGCGGUAAUACGUAGGUGGCAAGCGUUAUCCGGAAUUAUUGGGCGUAAAGCGCGCGCAGGCGGUUUCUUAAGUCUGAUGUGAAAGCCCACGGCUCAACCGUGGAGGGUCAUUGGAAACUGGGGAACUUGAGUGCAGAAGAGAAAAGCGGAAUUCCACGUGUAGCGGUGAAAUGCGUAGAGAUGUGGAGGAACACCAGUGGCGAAGGCGGCUUUUUGGUCUGUAACUGACGCUGAGGCGCGAAAGCGUGGGGAGCAAACAGGAUUAGAUACCCGUGUAGUCCCUGUCUCUUAUAC